AGUAAAAGUCGUAACAAGGUUUCCGUAGGUGAACCUGCGGAAGGAUCAUUAUCAAAAGUCAAGUCGGGGGCUGCAAAGCCCUCGUCUACACCCAUGUCUUUUGCGUACUUCUUGUUUCCUCGGUGGCGCAAGCCGCCGAUUGGACAAACCAAAACCUUUUUUGUAAUUGCAAUCAGCGUCUGAAAAUAAUCUAAUUAUUUACAACUUUCAACAACGGAUCUCUUGGUUCUGGCAUCGAUGAAGAACGCAGCGAAAUGCGAUAAGUAGUGUGAAUUGCAGAAUUCAGUGAAUCAUCGAAUCUUUGAACGCACAUUGCGCCCCUUGGUAUUCCAUGGGGCAUGCCUGUUCGAGCGUCAUUUGUACCCUCAAGCUUUGCUUGGUGUUGGGCGUCUUGUCGUAUUACGACUCGCCUUAAAUACAUUGGCAGCCGGCACUUUGGCCUAGGAGCGCAGCACAUUUUGCGAUCGUAGCCCGUUGUACUGGCGUCCAUCAAGAACAUUUACCACGUUUGACCUCGGAUCAGGUAGGGAUACCCGCUGAACUUAAG
This 547-nucleotide ribosomal RNA is filed under the name Alternaria sp. R60.1. Its description in RNAcentral is "eukaryotic LSU rRNA". The stretch from base 203 to 356 matches the Rfam family "5.8S ribosomal RNA". Lineage: Eukaryota; Fungi; Ascomycota; Dothideomycetes; Pleosporales; Pleosporaceae. The record is from RNAcentral.